RNAcentral lists this long non-coding RNA (391 nucleotides) under Nicotiana benthamiana. Its description in RNAcentral is "long non-coding RNA (NBEN_LNC033665)". Lineage: Eukaryota; Viridiplantae; Streptophyta; Magnoliopsida; Solanales; Solanaceae. The record is from RNAcentral.
CUCAAUUGUUUUUGUAUGGUUCACAAUUCCUGCCGACACUGCUCAAUUCUAAGUGUAAUUGUUUUGAAUUCCUUGUUAUUGAGUGUCUUCAAAGGAGUCUUCAGGGCUUUAAGUCUGUCCCAUAUUGUUCUCAUGGUAUCUGUCUUCCCCUCCUGUCAUACUGUUGUCACAAUGUAUUGAAAAUCUCUGUGUUCAGCCCAUACAUUGAAGAAUUUGAAGUGCCUCUUUCCUUUCGAGGUGGAUGAUUUCAAUGUUAGUAUCAUUGGAUUAUGGUCUGAAAUUACUGGUACAUCAUACUCAGUGACCACCUGAUUCCAGGUGAUACUCCAGUCAUAAUUGUCAAACACUCUGUCAAGCCUGCUGCAUACUCUGUCCACACCAGUUUGCUUAU